This 478-nucleotide ribosomal RNA is filed under the name uncultured bacterium. RNAcentral's name for it is "partial 16S ribosomal RNA". It matches the Rfam family "Bacterial small subunit ribosomal RNA", at positions 28 to 523 of the family's 1533-position model. The record is from RNAcentral.
GACGAACGCUGGCGGCGUGCUUAACACAUGCAAGUCGAACGGUAAGGCCCUUCGGGGUACACGAGUGGCGAACGGGUGAGUAACACGUGGGUGAUCUGCCCUGCACUUCGGGAUAAGCCUGGGAAACUGGGUCUAAUACCGGAUAGGACCACUGCCUGCAUGGGGGGUGGUGGAAAGCUUUUGCGGUGUGGGAUGGGCCCGCGGCCUAUCAGCUUGUUGGUGGGGUGAUGGCCUACCAAGGCGACGACGGGUAGCCGGCCUGGGAGGGUGACCGGGCACACUGGGACUGAGACACGGCCCAGACUCCUACGGGAGGCAGCAGUGGGGAAUAUUGCACAAUGGGCGCAAGCCUGAUGCAGCGACGCCGCGUGAGGGAUGACGGCCUUCGGGUUGUAAACCUCUUUCAGCACCGAGGAAGCGCAAGUGACGGUAGGUGCAGAAGAAGGACCGGCCAACUACGUGCCAGCCGCCGCCGUAA